Molecule: ribosomal RNA, 497 nt
Filed under: uncultured bacterium
Lineage: Bacteria
Description: partial 16S ribosomal RNA
Rfam family: Bacterial small subunit ribosomal RNA
Source: RNAcentral
GAUGAACGCUGGCGGCGUGCCUAAUACAUGCAAGUCGAGCGAACAGACGAGGAGCUUGCUCCUCUGACGUUAGCGGCGGACGGGUGAGUAACACGUGGAUAACCUACCUAUAAGACUGGGAUAACUUCGGGAAACCGGAGCUAAUACCGGAUAAUAUAUUGAACCGCAUGGUUCAAUAGUGAAAGACGGUUUUGCUGUCACUUAUAGACGGAUCCGCGCCGCAUUAGCUAGUUGGUAAGGUAACGGCUUACCAAGGCAACGAUGCGUAGCCGACCUGAGAGGGUGAUCGGCCACACUGGAACUGAGACACGGUCCAGACUCCUACGGGAGGCAGCAGUAGGGAAUCUUCCGCAAUGGGCGAAAGCCUGACGGAGCAACGCCGCGUGAGUGAUGAAGGUCUUCGGAUCGUAAAACUCUGUUAUUAGGGAAGAACAAAUGUGUAAGUAACUAUGCACGUCUUGACGGUACCUAAUCAGAAAGCCACGGCUAACUACGUG